RNAcentral lists this transfer RNA (75 nucleotides) under Candidatus Woesearchaeota archaeon. Its description in RNAcentral is "tRNA-Met". It matches the Rfam family "tRNA". From Rfam's summary of the family: Transfer RNA (tRNA) molecules are approximately 80 nucleotides in length. Their secondary structure includes four short double-helical elements and three loops (D, anti-codon, and T loops). Lineage: Archaea; Nanobdellati; Candidatus Woesearchaeota. The record is from RNAcentral.
AGCGGAGUAGGGCAGUCAGGAGUGCCCGAUGGGCUCAUAACCCAUAGGUCGCUAGUUCAAAUCUAGCCUCCGCUA